UACGAAGGGGGCUAGCGUUGUUCGGAAUUACUGGGCGUAAAGCGCGCGUAGGCGGGUGACUAAGUCAGGGGUGAAAUGCCGAGGCUCAACCUCGGAACUGCCUUUGAUACUGGUCGCCUGGAGUUCGGGAGAGGUAAGUGGAAUUCCGAGUGUAGAGGUGAAAUUCGUAGAUAUUCGGAGGAACACCAGAAGCGAAGGCGGCUUACUGGCCCGAUACUGACGCUGAGGCGCGAAAGCGUGGGGAGCAAAC
This 250-nucleotide ribosomal RNA is filed under the name uncultured bacterium. RNAcentral's name for it is "partial 16S ribosomal RNA". It matches the Rfam family "Bacterial small subunit ribosomal RNA", at positions 524 to 773 of the family's 1533-position model. The record is from RNAcentral.